RNAcentral lists this ribosomal RNA (253 nucleotides) under uncultured bacterium. RNAcentral describes it as "partial 16S ribosomal RNA". It matches the Rfam family "Bacterial small subunit ribosomal RNA", at positions 524 to 776 of the family's 1533-position model. The record is from RNAcentral.
UACGUAGGGGGCUAGCGUUGUCCGGAAUCAUUGGGCGUAAAGAGCGUGUAGGCGGUCCGGUAAGUCCGCUGUGAAAGUCGGGGGCUCAACCCGCGAAUGCCGGUGGAUACUGGCGGGCUAGAGUGCGGAAGAGGCGAGUGGAAUUCCUGGUGUAGCGGUGAAAUGCGCAGAUAUCAGGAGGAACACCUAUUGCGAAGGCAGCUCGCUGGGACGUAACUGACGCUGAGACGCGAAAGCGUGGGGAGCAAACAGG